AACGAACGCUGGCGGCAUGCCUAACACAUGCAAGUCGAACGAGACCUUCGGGUCUAGUGGCGCACGGGUGCGUAACGCGUGGGAAUCUGCCCUUAGGUUCGGAAUAACACCCCGAAAGGGGUGCUAAUACCGGAUAAUGUCUUCGGACCAAAGAUUUAUCGCCCAAGGAUGGGCCCGCGUUGGAUUAGCUAGUUGGUAAGGUAAAGGCCUACCAAGGCGACGAUCCAUAGCUGGUCUGAGAGGAUGAUCAGCCACACUGGGACUGAGACACGGCCCAGACUCCUACGGGAGGCAGCAGUGGGGAAUAUUGGACAAUGGGCGAAAGCCUGAUCCAGCAAUGCCGCGUGAGUGAUGAAGGCCUUAGGGUUGUAAAGCUCUUUUACCCGGGAUGAUAAUGACAGUACCGGGAGAAUAAGCUCCGGCUAACUCCGUG
RNAcentral lists this ribosomal RNA (433 nucleotides) under uncultured bacterium. RNAcentral describes it as "partial 16S ribosomal RNA". It matches the Rfam family "Bacterial small subunit ribosomal RNA", at positions 29 to 507 of the family's 1533-position model. The record is from RNAcentral.